This 253-nucleotide ribosomal RNA is filed under the name uncultured bacterium. Its description in RNAcentral is "partial 16S ribosomal RNA". It matches the Rfam family "Bacterial small subunit ribosomal RNA", at positions 524 to 776 of the family's 1533-position model. The record is from RNAcentral.
UACGGAGGGUGCAAGCGUUAUCCGGAUUCACUGGGUUUAAAGGGUGCGUAGGUGGGUUGGUAAGUCAGUGGUGAAAUCUCCGAGCUUAACUUGGAAACUGCCAUUGAUACUAUCUUUCUUGAAUACCGUGGAGGUCAGCGGAAUAUGUCAUGUAGCGGUGAAAUGCUUAGAUAUGACAUAGAACACCAAUUGCGAAGGCAGCUGGCUACACGAAUAUUGACACUGAUGCACGAAAGCGUGGGGAUCAAACAGG